RNAcentral lists this ribosomal RNA (503 nucleotides) under uncultured bacterium. Its description in RNAcentral is "partial 16S ribosomal RNA". It matches the Rfam family "Bacterial small subunit ribosomal RNA", at positions 30 to 523 of the family's 1533-position model. The record is from RNAcentral.
AUUGAACGCUGGCGGCAGGCUUAACACAUGCAAGUCGAGCGGGGUGAUGGUGCUUGCACUAUCACUUAGCGGCGGACGGGUGAGUAAUGCUUAGGAAUCUGCCUAUUAGUGGGGGACAACAUCUCGAAAGGGAUGCUAAUACCGCAUACGUCCUACGGGGGAAAGCAGGGGAUCACUUGUGACCUCGCGCUAAUAGAUGAGCCUAAGUCGGAUUAGCUAGUUGGUGGGGUAAAGGCCUACCAAGGCGACGAUCUGUAGCGGGUCUGAGAGGAUGAUCCGCCACACUGGGACUGAGACACGGCCCAGACUCCUACGGGAGGCAGCAGUGGGGAAUAUUGGACAAUGGGGGGAACCCUGAUCCAGCCAUGCCGCGUGUGUGAAGAAGGCCUUAUGGUUGUAAAGCACUUUAAGCGAGGAGGAGGCUCUUUUGGUUAAUACCCAGAAUGAGUGGACGUUACUCGCAGAAUAAGCACCGGCUAACUCUGUGCCAGCCGCCGCCGUAA